Lacerta agilis (Sand lizard) is the source of this 428-nucleotide long non-coding RNA. RefSeq lists it as uncharacterized. The record is from RefSeq and is a predicted model, not a curated record. The transcript has 3 exons. Lineage: Eukaryota; Metazoa; Chordata; Lepidosauria; Squamata; Lacertidae.
UUUCAUUUUGAGGGGUGAGCAGGGAGGCUCUAGCUCAAUGAACUGAACUGUCCUGAAAAGUCAGGACAGAACACAAAAGCAACGGAUGGAAAAACCAAGUAUGGCAACACUUAGUCUGUUUAAUACUUAUAAAGGAAAGACUCUGGAAACACAGAAAGCUACAGUCACAGCACGCCAUGGAUUACAGAGUCCUUGGAAAAGUUGCCAUUUCACGAAGGAUGCCCCCUCCUGCUAAUCUCCCCAGUCUUAAAGCAGAAAACAAAGGCAAUGAUCCUAAUAUAAACAUGUGCCUAAGGAUGGCACAGGAUGGGCUUCUAAACAAGAGCAACAUGAGGAAGAAAAACCGCCAGAAGUGCCACAGACACAACCAAAGCCUGCAGUUCCUGCUCCAAGAAGCACCUCCUGUUGCCAAAAUCAUGGGCCAAUAC